RNAcentral lists this ribosomal RNA (253 nucleotides) under uncultured bacterium. RNAcentral describes it as "partial 16S ribosomal RNA". It matches the Rfam family "Bacterial small subunit ribosomal RNA", at positions 524 to 776 of the family's 1533-position model. The record is from RNAcentral.
UACGUAGGGGGCAAGCGUUGUCCGGAUUUAUUGGGCGUAAAGAGCGUGUAGGCGGCCAGGCAGGUCCGCUGUGAAAACUCGAGGCUCAACCUCGAGAGGUCGGUGGUAACCGUCUGGCUAGAGUCCGGAAGAGGAGAGUGGAAUUCCCGGUGUAGCGGUGAAAUGCGCAGAUAUCGGGAAGAACACCCGUGGCGAAGGCGGCUCUCUGGGACGGUACUGACGCUGAGACGCGAAAGCGUGGGGAGCAAACAGG